Long non-coding RNA from Ictalurus punctatus (channel catfish), 377 nucleotides. NCBI's taxonomy places the organism in Eukaryota, Metazoa, Chordata, Actinopteri, Siluriformes, Ictaluridae. The record is from Ensembl.
CCACACGUUGAAGUUCACUUCAAGAACAGCGACUGCAUGUUCAAAAAAAAUGAACACAACUGAAGGGUCACCAGUCACAAGUUAACGGGACCCUGACCAAGACGUUGGCGCCUAAACGCGUGCUGGAUGAACAGGGCCCUUCAAUCCGAGACCGAGGAAUACCACCAUGUCAACAGAUCGGAAUCAGAAAUCUGAGCUGGGGUUUGGAGAACGCGCCCAGGGACGGGCUCAUCGCCAAUGUUUUCCAUGUUGUUGUUUUUUUUUUUUUUUGUUUUUUUUACUAGAUAAGCUGGGUUUUUUGCAGUAACAGUGGUGCUCGUUGCCUAUUUAGCAAUCUGGGACAAAUUGUACAAUUGAGAAACAAUGUACGAUUUCGC